Octodon degus (degu) is the source of this 107-nucleotide small nuclear RNA. NCBI's taxonomy places the organism in Eukaryota, Metazoa, Chordata, Mammalia, Rodentia, Octodontidae. The record is from Ensembl.
GUGCUCACUUCGGCAGCACGUAUGCUAACAUUCGACCAAUACAGACAUGACUCACAUGGCCUCUGCGCAAGGGUGACACACAAGCUCAUAAAGUGUUCCAUAUUUUG